Molecule: ribosomal RNA, 440 nt
Filed under: uncultured bacterium
Lineage: Bacteria
Description: bacterial SSU rRNA
Rfam family: Bacterial small subunit ribosomal RNA
Source: RNAcentral
CCUACGGGAGGCAGCAGUUAGGAAUCUUGGACAAUGGGCGCAAGCCUGAUCCAGCCAUGCCGCGUGAGUGAUGAAGGCCUUAGGGUUGUAAAGCUCUUUCAGCGGGGAAGAUAAUGACGGUACCCGCAGAAGAAGCCCCGGCUAACUUCGUGCCAGCAGCCGCGGUAAUACGAAGGGGGCUAGCGUUGCUCGGAAUCACUGGGCGUAAAGCGCACGUAGGCGGCUUUCUAAGUCAGGGGUGAAAUCCUGGAGCUCAACUCCAGAACUGCCUUUGAUACUGGAGAGCUUGAGUCCGGGAGAGGUGAGUGGAACUCCGAGUGUAGAGGUGAAAUUCGUAGAUAUUCGGAAGAACACCAGUGGCGAAGGCGGCUCACUGGCCCGGUACUGACGCUGAUGUGCGAAAGCGUGGGGAGCAAACAGGAUUAGAUACCCUAGUAGUC